RNAcentral lists this ribosomal RNA (497 nucleotides) under uncultured bacterium. RNAcentral's name for it is "partial 16S ribosomal RNA". It matches the Rfam family "Bacterial small subunit ribosomal RNA", at positions 28 to 507 of the family's 1533-position model. The record is from RNAcentral.
GAUGAACGCUGGCGGCGUGCCUAAUACAUGCAAGUCGAGCGAACAGACGAGGAGCUUGCUCCUCUGACGUUAGCGGCGGACGGGUGAGUAACACGUGGAUAACCUACCUAUAAGACUGGGAUAACUUCGGGAAACCGGAGCUAAUACCGGAUAAUAUAUUGAACCGCAUGAUUCAAUAGUGAAAGACGGUUUUGCUGUCACUUAUAGAUGGAUCCGCGCCGCAUUAGCUAGUUUGUAAGGUAACGGCUUACCAAGGCAACGAUGCGUAGCCGACCUGAGAGGGUGAUCGGCCACACUGGAACUGAGACACGGUCCAGACUCCUACGGGAGGCAGCAGUAGGGAAUCUUCCGCAAUGGGCGAAAGCCUGACGGAGCAACGCCGCGUGAGUGAUGAAGGUCUUCGGAUCGUAAAACUCUGUUAUUAGGGAAGAACAAAUGUGUAAGUAACUAUGCACGUCUUGACGGUACCUAAUCAGAAAGCCACGGCUAACUACGUG